AUGCGACAUCUAAACCUGAUACGAAAUUUGAGGGCACAAAGUGACCCGUGGUUUGCAGAAUACCUUUUACGCAUCGGUUAUGGUAAGGAGGAGACCAAUGGUGAUGGCUAUGUCCACAUUCCGGAUGAGAUAUGUGUGCCGUGUACUGUGAAGGACACUGACCUUGAUACAUUAAUAAACAAUUUUUUCCCAGUCUUGAUGCUAGAUGCUGACCCAAACUACAUCACCUCCAGAGCAAUCUUGUCAACACAGAAUGAUUGUGUGGAUAGGAUUAGUUUGAAGAUGAUCAAUCGAUUCCAGGGAGACGAGGUGGUGUUCCAUAGCUUUGAUGGUGCAGUGGACGACCCUCAUGACCACGAACCAUUUGGGUUCCUUGGAGCAUCUCCAACAGCCGCCCAACCCCCACAUGUGUUGAAGCUCAAGAUUAACUGCCCUAUCGUAUUGCUCAGAAAUAUUGACCCUAUGAACGAGCUUUGCAAUGACAUGAGGCUGGUGGUUCGAGGAUUCCAAAGGAAUAUCAUUGAUGCAGAAAUUGUGUUGGGCCAACAUACUGGAAAGAGGAUCUUCUGUCCAAGGAUUCCCCUUUUUCCCUCUGAUGAUGAGAUGUUCCCUUUUCAGUUCAAGAGGAAGUAAUUUCCUAUCAGGCCCAGCUUCGCCACGAUGGUUAACAAGGCACAGGGGCAAACGAUCCCGAAUGCUGGUUUUUACUUGCCCGAGCCGGUGUUCUUUUAGGGACAGUUGUAUGUGGCCCUCUCUAGAUUCACCGUGAGAAAACAAUUAAAGAUUCUGGCCAUCCCAGAUGCUGGUAAGAAAAACAAGAACUCAGAUGUAGCAAAAAGAAGAGUUCAAAUUGCAACAAGGUAUACAAAGAACAUCGUCUAUAUAGAGAUCCUUACAUCAUAG
This 903-nucleotide ribosomal RNA is filed under the name Triticum aestivum (bread wheat). Its description in RNAcentral is "partial small subunit ribosomal RNA". The record is from RNAcentral. Lineage: Eukaryota; Viridiplantae; Streptophyta; Magnoliopsida; Poales; Poaceae.